RNAcentral lists this transfer RNA (88 nucleotides) under Bacteroidetes bacterium ADurb.BinA012. RNAcentral's name for it is "tRNA-Leu". It matches the Rfam family "tRNA". Rfam says of the family: Transfer RNA (tRNA) molecules are approximately 80 nucleotides in length. Their secondary structure includes four short double-helical elements and three loops (D, anti-codon, and T loops). Further hydrogen bonds mediate the characteristic L-shaped molecular structure. tRNAs have two regions of fundamental functional importance: the anti-codon, which is responsible for specific mRNA codon recognition, and the 3' end, to which the tRNAs corresponding amino acid is attached (by aminoacyl-tRNA synthetases). tRNAs cope with the degeneracy of the genetic code in two manners: having more than one tRNA (with a specific anti-codon) for a particular amino acid; and 'wobble' base-pairing, i.e. permitting non-standard base-pairing at the 3rd anti-codon position. The record is from RNAcentral. Lineage: Bacteria; Pseudomonadati; Bacteroidota.
UGCCCGGAUGGCGGAAUUGGUAGACGCGCUGGUCUCAAACACCAGUGGCAGCGAUGCUUUGCCGGUUCGAUCCCGGCUCCGGGUACCC